AUACGGAGGAUCCGAGCGUUAUCCGGAUUUAUUGGGAUUAAAGGGUGCGCAGGCGGCCAUUUAAGUCAGCGGUUAAAUCGUGGGGCUCAACCCCAUUCUGCCGUUGAUACUGGGUGGCUUGAUUGCGGUCGAGGUUGGCGGAAUUCGUUGUGUAGCGGUGAAAUGCAUAGAUAUGACGAAGAACACCGAUUGCGUAGGCAGCUGACCAGACCGCAAAUGACGCUCAUGCACGAAAGUGCGGGGAUCGAACAGGAUUAGAUACCCUGGUAGUCCGCACAGUAAACGAUGAAUACUUGUUUUCGGCGAUAUAAUGUCGGAGGCAAAGCGAAAGCGAUAAGUAUUCCACCUGGGGAGUACGCCGGCAACGGUGAAACUCAAAUGAAUUGACGGGG
Molecule: ribosomal RNA, 392 nt
Filed under: uncultured bacterium
Lineage: Bacteria
Description: partial 16S ribosomal RNA
Rfam family: Bacterial small subunit ribosomal RNA
Source: RNAcentral